AUUGAACGCUGGCGGCAUGCCUUACACAUGCAAGUCGAACGGUAACAGGUUAAGCUGACGAGUGGCGAACGGGUGAGUAAUGUAUCGGAACGUGCCCAGUCGUGUGGGAUAACUGCUCGAAAGAGCAGCUAAUACCGCAUACGACCUGAGGGUGAAAGCGGGGGAUCGCAAGACCUCGCGCGAUUGGAGCGUCCGAUAUCAGAUUAGGUAGUUGGUGAGGUAAAGGCUCACCAAGCCGACGAUCUGUAGCUGGUCUGAGAGGACGACCAGCCACACUGGGACUGAGACACGGCCCAGACUCCUACGGGAGGCAGCAGUGGGGAAUUUUGGACAAUGGGCGCAAGCCUGAUCCAGCCAUGCCGCGUGCGGGAAGAAGGCCUUCGGGUUGUAAACCGCUUUUGUCAGGGAAGAAAAGGUUCUGGCUAAUACCUGGGACUCAUGACGGUACCUGAAGAAUAAGCACCGGCUAACUACGUG
Molecule: ribosomal RNA, 477 nt
Filed under: uncultured bacterium
Lineage: Bacteria
Description: partial 16S ribosomal RNA
Rfam family: Bacterial small subunit ribosomal RNA
Source: RNAcentral